CAUUACAGUUGACCCCGGCCCUCGGGCCGGGAUGUUCACAACCCUUUGUUGUCCGACUCUGUUGCCUCCGGGGCGACCCUGCCUCCGGGCGGGGGCCCCGGGUGGACACUUCAAACUCUUGCGGAACUUUGCAGUCUGAGUAAAUUUAAUUAAUAAAUUAAAACUUUCAACAACGGAUCUCUUGGUUCUGGCAUCGAUGAAAAACGCAACGAAAUGCGAUAAGUAAUGAGAAUUGCAAAAUUCAGUGAAUCAUCAAAUCUUUGAACGCACAUUGCGCCCCCUGGUAUUCCGGGGGGCAUGCCUGUUCUAGCGUCAUUUCACCACUCAGGCCUCGCUUGGUAUUGGGCGACGCGGUCCGCCGCGCGCCUCAAAUCGACCGGCUGGGUCUUCCGUCCCCUCAACGUUGUGGAAACUAUUCGCUAAAGGGUGCCGCGGGAGGUCACGCCGCACAACAACCCCAUUUCUAAGGUUGACCUCGGAUCAGGUAGGGAUACCCGCUGAA
RNAcentral lists this ribosomal RNA (502 nucleotides) under Cladosporium sp. W1302-100M-M1. RNAcentral's name for it is "eukaryotic LSU rRNA". The stretch from base 162 to 315 matches the Rfam family "5.8S ribosomal RNA". Lineage: Eukaryota; Fungi; Ascomycota; Dothideomycetes; Cladosporiales; Cladosporiaceae. The record is from RNAcentral.